Molecule: ribosomal RNA, 743 nt
Filed under: uncultured bacterium
Lineage: Bacteria
Description: bacterial SSU rRNA
Rfam family: Bacterial small subunit ribosomal RNA
Source: RNAcentral
GAAUUAGUGGUGUAGGGGGUAAAAUCCGUAGAUAUCACUAGGAAUACCGAAAGCGAAGGCGAUCUCCUGGAACAAUACUGACGCUAAGGCGUGAAAGCGUGGGGAGCAAACGGGAUUAGAUACCCCGGUAGUCCACGCCCUAAACGAUGUUCACUAGUCGUCGGAAUGCUAGUCAUUUCGGUGAUGCACUUAACAGAUUAAGUGAACCGCCUGGGGAGUACGGUCGCAAGAUUAAAACUCAAAGGAAUAGACGGGGACCCGCACAAGUGGUGGAGCAUGUGGUUUAAUUCGAAGAUACGCGAAGAACCUUACCUAGCCUUGACAUUGAUUGAACACUUUAGAGAUAGAGUGGUGCCCUUCGGGGAACAUGAAAACAGGUGCUGCACGGCUGUCGUCAGCUCGUGUCGUGAGAUGUUGGGUUAAGUCCCGCAACGAGCGCAACCCUCGUCCUUAGUUGCCAGCAGGUUAUGCUGGGCACUCUAAGGAGACUGCCUUCGCAAGGAGGAGGAAGGUGAGGACGACGUCAAGUCAUCAUGGCCCUUAUGGCUAGGGCUACACACGUGCUACAAUGGGGCGUACAGAGAGUUGCGAUACCGCGAGGUGGAGCCAAUCUCAUAAAGCGUCUCUCAGUUCGGAUUGAAGUCUGCAACUCGACUUCAUGAAGCUGGAAUCACUAGUAAUCGUAGAUCAGCAAUGCUACGGUGAAUACGUUCCCGGGUCUUGUACUCCCGCCCGUCACACCA